Molecule: ribosomal RNA, 798 nt
Filed under: uncultured Glomeromycotina
Lineage: Eukaryota; Fungi; Glomeromycota
Description: SSU rRNA
Rfam family: Eukaryotic small subunit ribosomal RNA
Source: RNAcentral
AUCAACUUUCGAUGGUAGGAUAGAGGCCUACCAUGGUGGUAACGGGUAACGGGGUGUUAGGGCACGACACCGGAGAGGGAGCCUGAGAAACGGCUACCACAUCCAAGGAUGGCAGCAGGCGCGCAAAUUACCCAAUCCCGACACGGGGAGGUAGUGACAAUAAAUAACAAUACGGGGUUCUUUCGGAUUUCGUAAUUGGAAUGAGUACAAUUUAAAUCUCUUAACGAGGAACAAUUGGAGGGCAAGUCUGGUGCCAGCAGCCGCGGUAAUUCCAGCUCCAAUAGCGUAUAUUAAAGUUGCUGCAGUUAAAAAGCUCGUAGUUGAAUUUCGGGACCAAUAUGUCGGUCGUGCCUCGGUACGUACUGGCAUCGUUGGUUUCUCCCUUCUGACGAACCAUGAUGUCAUUUAUUUGGUGUCGUGGGGAAUCAGGACUGUUACUUUGAAAAAAUUAGAGUGUUUAAAGCAGGCUCACGCUUGAAUACAUUAGCAUGGAAUAAUGAAAUAGGACGUUUGAUUCUAUUUUGUUGGUUUCUAGGAUCGACGUAAUGAUUAAUAGGGAUAGUUGGGGGCAUUAGUAUUCAAUUGUCAGAGGUGAAAUUCUUGGAUUUAUUGAAGACUGACCACUGCGAAAGCAUUUGCCAAGGAUGUUUUCAUUAAUCAAGAACGAAAGUUAGGGGAUCGAAGACGAUCAGAUACCGUCGUAGUCUUAACCAUAAACUAUGCCGACUAGGGAUCGGAUGAUGUUAAUUUUUUAAUGACUCAUUCGGCGCCUUACGGGAAACCAAAGUGUUUGGGUUC